UAGGGAAUCUUCCACAAUGGACGCAAGUCUGAUGGAGCAACGCCGCGUGAGUGAAGAAGGUUUUCGGAUCGUAAAGCUCUGUUGUUGGUGAAGAAGGGUAGAGGUAGUAACUGGCCUUUAUUUGACGGUAAUCAACCAGAAAGUCACGGCUAACUACGUGCCAGCAGCCGCGGUAAUACGUAGGUGGCAAGCGUUGUCCGGAUUUAUUGGGCGUAAAGCGAGCGCAGGCGGAAGAAUAAGUCUGAUGUGAAAGCCCUCGGCUUAACCGAGGAACUGCAUCGGAAACUGUUUUUCUUGAGUGCAGAAGAGGAGAGUGGAAUUCCAUGUGUAGCGGUGGAAUGCGUAGAUAUAUGGAAGAACACCAGUGGCGAAGGCGACUCUCUGGUCUGCAACUGACGCUGAGGCUCGAAAGCAUGGGUAGCGAACAGG
This 429-nucleotide ribosomal RNA is filed under the name bacterium. Its description in RNAcentral is "partial 16S ribosomal RNA". It matches the Rfam family "Bacterial small subunit ribosomal RNA", at positions 355 to 776 of the family's 1533-position model. The record is from RNAcentral.